GGGCCUGGCAAGGAAGUGUUAACACGAGAAAUGGAGAUCUCCUAUUCCUGACUCCCUCCUGGAACCAGCACGUCACUCCAGGCCCCCAGAGGCAUUGGCCCUCCUGUGAAUUCAACCAAGCGUGGUGUCCCAUAGCAAAUAUGGAAAACGCCUGGAAAAAGCCACCAGAUGGUGCUUCUCCAUGCCAAGUAAGAAGCCAGGUGUGGUUCCCGUGUCUGCUCUCCGCAGCCCUCCUGGGAGGGUUUGAAGAGACAGCUGAGAGCGGCCAGCUGGGAAGAGCACGCUUGCCUUGUCAGCGGAGAGUAGGUUCUGAGCUCUGCUGAGUCAGCGUGGCCAGGCAGGGCUGGGGGGCCUCAGGGCUCCAGGCCCCACCUCUUACCUCUACAGUCUCCCACCCCGGCUGCCUGCCCCAGCCGGUCAAAAUGCCAGGUAACCCCCGGUGGAGAUAGGCACCUGUGAGAAGUAUCACUGCUUCGUGGGUCAGGGGCUUGGACCCACCAGGGCUGUGUCACCUGCGGACCAUGUGAACUCAACUCCCACCCCCCGGCCCCUGCCCAGCCUCCCCUACCAGGCUCGAUGUAAAGUGAUGGUGAAGUGAAAACAGAUUUGGGGCCCUUGCCACCUCUUUCUGGUUGGUAACUUUGUUUCUUGGACAACAAUGCAGAGUUUGAAGCCCAUCCAGGGACAACAUUCCAUCUGCCCCCUGCAAGUUCCGGUAAUUGGUCACUAUUUAUAAUUAUAUAAAUAAUAGAAAAACAAGCUUAAGCUGCCCUCCCCAAAAACCCAGUCUCCUCCUAUUUUUAGGCAGCCAGCCUGCCCUCCUGUAGGGCAGCGUCCCUCUGAGGUCUGGGCCACUCAGCUCCAGCCAUGGGCUGAAGCAAUGAUGCUGGUGACAGCAGUGAUUCUGCCACCCAGGAAGGGGCCAGGGGUGAUUUUCUAACUCAAGGUUGAGUUUAAAGCUCUCAGAGAAUGAAGAGAAGGAACUAUUCUAAAGCCCCCUUGCUGCGAUCAUUCUCCCAAGACCAAAUCUGAUUCUGUAAGAACUGGGAGCUGGACAGAGAUUCGAGUCUGAGUUUCAUUGAUGUGUCUCACUGGGAGUCACGGGACCGGGAGAGACGGGAGGCUAGAAGAGACAGGAGAGUCAGGCUGGCUAUAAAGUCCUUGAUGUCCAACUACCACCCCCCUGCCAAAAAAAAAGGAACAGACAGUUGGGAAGGGUGUGCUCUAUGCCAGCCAUUUCACCCUUGUUCCGACUCUUCAAAGAUGGGAUUGUGGGGCCUAUUAUACCGAUGAAGACAUUGAGGUUUGGAGUUGCAAUAUAACCAACCCAAUGGUACACAGCCAGGGAGUGGGCAGAGCCAGGAUUCAACUCAGAUCUGAAUCGAUCUCCUAUAGCAUGCCCACGGCUAUGGGGGAAGAUCAGGGUGCCUCGGGAAAAAAGAUUGUUCAAAAGAAAAUCAAAACGAUAACUUUAAUUUCAAAAUGCAAAUUGCGGGUGAAUCUCUGAUCCCAUUGACACGAAAACCAAGAGACCACGACAUAUGAAACCAGCCUAAGGAGCCUGAAUGAUCUUAUGAGAAAAAGCGUCUGUGUCAGAGCCAAAUCACUGACGCAGGCCACCUGUGCGGUCUCCCUCUCCCUGGACCUACUUUAUGAGAGCUUCACCACACAUUGCUUGUUUGAUGUGGUUUAGGUGCGGUCUUCGCUAAGAGGCCAAGCAAGAUGAUGUAAUCACCUGAUGAGUUCCUCCUGCCCACUGCACAGACAAAACCAAUUCACUGAGACGACGGCAUUGCAAUAAAGAAAGAGCUUAAUUGACACAAGGUUGGCCACUCCUGUCUCAAAUCAAAUCAAUCUGAAAAUUUGGAGGCUAGGGUUUUUAAAGGAUACUUUGGUGGGCAGGGGGCUGGGGAAUGGGGGCUGCUGAUUGGUUGGGGAUGCAAUCACAGGGUUGUGGAAAUUGGUCCUUGUGCACCAAGUCCACUUCUGGGCGGGCUCCCCAGGACCGGCUGAGCCAAGAGUUGAAGGUCUGGGUGGGGCCAUCCGGUCAUCAGAAAUGCAGGUAAAGACAUCUCAAAAGGCCAAUCUUAGGUUCCACAAUAGUGAAUUGGGACAGUUGCAAAUCUUGUAUCCUCUGGAAUAAUGGCUGGUUGUCAUUUAACUAUGCCUGCGUCUUAGCGAAAUUUAGGCCCCUCUCAUCCUCCUAACCUGGUGGCCUUUCUUUUCUUUUCAUUUUUUUUUAAGAAACAGG
This 2251-nucleotide long non-coding RNA is filed under the name Homo sapiens (human). Its description in RNAcentral is "HSALNT0370781". The record is from RNAcentral. Lineage: Eukaryota; Metazoa; Chordata; Mammalia; Primates; Hominidae.